Molecule: long non-coding RNA, 520 nt
Organism: Homo sapiens (human)
Lineage: Eukaryota; Metazoa; Chordata; Mammalia; Primates; Hominidae
Exons: 2
Source: RefSeq, a predicted model, not a curated record
GGUUGGCUGGUCUUGAACUCGUGACCUCAGGUGAUCCUCCCGCCUCCGCCUCCCAAGGUGUUGGGAUUACAGCCGUGAGCCACUGCAUCUGGCCUGUCUGUUCAUUUCAUAAACAUCUGAGAGGGUCUUUGCUACAGGACUUCAGGAGCACUAGCAUCGAUGGUGGCAGAUGAAAAAGCAGAUUUUUUUCCCCUGAAGCUCUUUAAUAAUGGCAAAAGUUAAAAAGUGUUUUCUCUGUAGUCCUGAAUUUACUGAAUGUAUUCCCUUCCUGAAUAAAUUGACUGUUCCCUUAGUGUAGGGCUAUAACCUGGUUUUGGUGGAGUCCCUUCCAGGUUCUAACAUUUGUGUGACCUUGAACAGGGUACUUCUUAACCUUUCUGAGUCUCAGGUUUAUUCAUUUCUAAAGUGCAGGUGGUACUGAUACCUUUUAGGGUUGGUUGAGGAUUUAAUGGGAUAAUGAAUGUAGACUGCUGUGCCAACAGUGAGCUUUCAAUAAAAGGUAUCUGUUGUAAUUCUCAAA